ACAUCGGUAGCACAGUGGUCAGUGCAGUCUGCCGGAAACAGUAAGACGCGGGUUCAAUUCCCGUUCGAUGUC
Non-coding RNA from Nippostrongylus brasiliensis, 72 nucleotides. The record is from Rfam. Lineage: Eukaryota; Metazoa; Nematoda; Chromadorea; Rhabditida; Heligmosomidae.